Molecule: transfer RNA, 74 nt
Filed under: Stegodyphus dumicola
Lineage: Eukaryota; Metazoa; Arthropoda; Arachnida; Araneae; Eresidae
Description: tRNA-Ile
Rfam family: tRNA
About the family: Transfer RNA (tRNA) molecules are approximately 80 nucleotides in length. Their secondary structure includes four short double-helical elements and three loops (D, anti-codon, and T loops).
Source: RNAcentral
GCCUUCGUGGUGUAGUGGUUCUGCACGCUCGGCCGAUAUUCCAGAGGUCUCUGGUUCGAUUCCCGGCGAAGGCG